UACGUAGGGGGCAAGCGUUAUCCGGAAUUACUGGGUGUAAAGGGUGAGUAGGCGGCAUGGUAAGCCAGAUGUGAAAGCCUUGGGCUUAACCCGAGGAUUGCAUUUGGAACUACCAAGCUAGAGUACAGGAGAGGAAAGCGGAAUUCCUAGUGUAGCGGUGAAAUGCGUAGAUAUUAGGAAGAACACCAGUGGCGAAGGCGGCUUUCUGGACUGAAACUGACGCUGAGGCACGAAAGCGUGGGGAGCGAACAGG
RNAcentral lists this ribosomal RNA (253 nucleotides) under uncultured bacterium. RNAcentral describes it as "partial 16S ribosomal RNA". It matches the Rfam family "Bacterial small subunit ribosomal RNA", at positions 524 to 776 of the family's 1533-position model. The record is from RNAcentral.